CCCUACGGGAGGCAGCAGUAAGGAAUAUUGGUCAAUGGACGCAAGUCUGAACCAGCCAUGCCGCGUGAAGGAUGAAGGUCCUCUGGAUUGUAAACUUCUUUUAUAUGGGACGAAAAAAGGGCAUUCUUGCUCACUUGACGGUACCAUAGGAAUAAGCACCGGCUAACUCCGUGCCAGCAGCCGCGGUAAUACGGAGGGUGCGAGCGUUAUCCGGAUUUACUGGGUUUAAAGGGUGCGUAGGUGGGCAGGUAAGUCAGUGGUGAAAUCUCCGGGCUUAACCCGGAAACUGCCAUUGAUACUAUCUGUCUUGAAUAUCCUGGAGGUGAGCGGAAUAUGUCAUGUAGCGGUGAAAUGCUUAGAUAUGACAUAGAACACCGAUUGCGAAGGCAGCUCACUACGGGGUCAUUGACACUGAGGCACGAAAGCGUGGGGAUCAAACAGGAUUAGAUACCCUGGUAGUCCACGCCCUAAACGAUGGAUACUCGACAUUUGCGAUAUACUGUAAGUGUCUGAGCGAAAGCAUUAAGUAUCCCACCUGGGAAGUACGACCGCAAGGUUGAAACUCAAAGGAAUUGACGG
This 579-nucleotide ribosomal RNA is filed under the name uncultured bacterium. RNAcentral's name for it is "bacterial SSU rRNA". It matches the Rfam family "Bacterial small subunit ribosomal RNA", at positions 337 to 916 of the family's 1533-position model. The record is from RNAcentral.